RNAcentral lists this ribosomal RNA (253 nucleotides) under uncultured bacterium. Its description in RNAcentral is "partial 16S ribosomal RNA". It matches the Rfam family "Bacterial small subunit ribosomal RNA", at positions 524 to 776 of the family's 1533-position model. The record is from RNAcentral.
UACGUAGGGUGCAAGCGUUAUCCGGAAUUAUUGGGCGUAAAGAGCUCGUAGGCGGUCUGUCGCGUCAGGAGUGAAAACUCGGGGCUUAACCCCGAGCCUGCUUCUGAUACGGGCAGACUAGAGGUAUGCAGGGGAGAACGGAAUUCCUGGUGUAGCGGUGAAAUGCGCAGAUAUCAGGAGGAACACCGGUGGCGAAGGCGGUUCUCUGGGCAUUACCUGACGCUGAGGAGCGAAAGUGUGGGGAGCGAACGGG